CCUACGGGGUGCUGCAGUAGGGAAUUUUCGUCAAUGGGCGCAAGCCUGAACGAGCAAUGCAGCGUGAACGAGGAAGGUCUUCGGAUCGGAAAGUUCUGUUGAAGGGGAAAAAGAGCGGAGAGAGGAAAGGAACUCCGAUUGAUAUUAUCCUUCGAGGAAGUCACGGCUAAUUACGUGCCAGCAGCCGCGGUAAUACGUAGGUGGCGAGCGUUAUCCGGAGUGAUUGGGCGUAAGGGGUGCGUAGGCGGCCUGCUAAGUCUGGAGUGAAAGGUACCGGCUCAACCGGUACAGGCUCUGGAAACUGGCGGGCUAGAGAGCAGGAGAGGGCGGUGGAACUCCAUGUGUAGCGGUAAAAUGCGUAGAUAUAUGGAAGAACACCAGUGGCGAAGGCGGCCGCCUGGCCUGUUACUGACGCUGAGGCACGAAAGCGUGGGUAGCAAAUAGGAUUAGAUACCCCUGUAGUC
Molecule: ribosomal RNA, 464 nt
Filed under: uncultured bacterium
Lineage: Bacteria
Description: partial 16S ribosomal RNA
Rfam family: Bacterial small subunit ribosomal RNA
Source: RNAcentral